This 74-nucleotide transfer RNA is filed under the name Nostoc sp. PCC 7120 = FACHB-418. Its description in RNAcentral is "Nostoc sp. PCC 7120 tRNA-Asn". It matches the Rfam family "tRNA". Rfam says of the family: Transfer RNA (tRNA) molecules are approximately 80 nucleotides in length. Their secondary structure includes four short double-helical elements and three loops (D, anti-codon, and T loops). Further hydrogen bonds mediate the characteristic L-shaped molecular structure. tRNAs have two regions of fundamental functional importance: the anti-codon, which is responsible for specific mRNA codon recognition, and the 3' end, to which the tRNAs corresponding amino acid is attached (by aminoacyl-tRNA synthetases). tRNAs cope with the degeneracy of the genetic code in two manners: having more than one tRNA (with a specific anti-codon) for a particular amino acid; and 'wobble' base-pairing, i.e. permitting non-standard base-pairing at the 3rd anti-codon position. The record is from RNAcentral. Lineage: Bacteria; Bacillati; Cyanobacteriota; Cyanophyceae; Nostocales; Nostocaceae. RNAcentral also lists the same sequence under 2 other names.
UUCCUCAGUAGCUCAGUGGUAGAGCGAUCGACUGUUAAUCGAUUGGUCACUGGUUCGAAUCCAGUCUGGGGAGU